RNAcentral lists this transfer RNA (70 nucleotides) under Bipalium vagum. RNAcentral's name for it is "tRNA-Ser". The record is from RNAcentral. Lineage: Eukaryota; Metazoa; Platyhelminthes; Tricladida; Geoplanidae.
AAAAGAUUUAGUAUUAAAAUAAGAGAUUUCUAAUCUAGUUAUUGAAAAAUUUACAGUUUUUCAUCUUUUU